CGCCGCAGUAUUCUCCCCCCGGGUGUUGUACGGCAUUCAGCGGGGAAGGAAAACACCCUUCACCCGCGCCUCCCCAGGUAACACCCGCUUUCCAGUGCCCUCGCCGAGCCGCCACAGGGGCUCACGGACACGGUGGCGUUACGUAUCGCGGUAUGUACGACAGGAAGGCACGCCGCAAAACCGUUACGUACCGUUGCUUGGCGAUGCGGCCGCCCUUGCAUUCCACGAAGCCCGAUUGCUGCCAGCAACACCAGCGACACCAUUUGAGCACGUGCCCAACCACCAACUGCCCCAGGUAGCAAAUCGUCAACGCAGGUGCUUGAAUAGGAAACACAACGAAACACUCGACCAGCCUAGCGGCCCGUAAUGGCCACAUGGCCAGUGCAGGCGAAGGAAGGCGAGGGACUCUUUCGCCCUUCUAGUCAGGAUGCAUGCAACAGUGACGUUCAAGGAGGUACAAAUGUAUGUAUGUAUGUAUGUAUGUGUGGGUAUGAGGGGAGGGGAGGGAGGGGAAACACCGGGCAUCGCAGCUGUCAUCGAUCAUCUUCUUAUUCUUCCACACGUCACACGGGCAUGCCUGAAUAUUUAUGUACAUACACACAUACAUACAAACAAACAUACAUGUGCAACCAGCUCCUGGUGAACAUCAUAAAAAUGGCAGACGGGCGGCGGACGGUCCGCACUUCCACACGUUUCCUCCUACAUAUACACACAUACACACAUACACACGUACACACGCGCCUCUCCGCCCCCGUCGCUUCCAUUUCCAAGCCGCUAUGCAACCAUGUACUCGCUUUCUAGCGAGCCGCUGAGCCGCUCUUCACCUGGCGAAGGAAAUAACACCCUAAACCGCACAGUCCUAUGGCGCCAAUUCAUCAAACAUCAGCCUACACGAUCCGCUUUACAUGUAGUUCCUCAUCCGCUCUCACUUCUCCCUCCUCCCACCAGAAAGGUCUGCCCCCAUCUUCGUCCCUCCAGAACCUUCACACACACAGCAGCUCUGCCCUUGUGGUGUCCCCCCGAGGCCGCAACCACGUCGGGGAGGGGGCUCACAUUG
This 1057-nucleotide long non-coding RNA is filed under the name Volvox carteri. RNAcentral describes it as "long non-coding RNA (VCAR_LNC000929)". The record is from RNAcentral. Lineage: Eukaryota; Viridiplantae; Chlorophyta; Chlorophyceae; Chlamydomonadales; Volvocaceae.